RNAcentral lists this ribosomal RNA (471 nucleotides) under uncultured bacterium. RNAcentral describes it as "SSU rRNA". It matches the Rfam family "Bacterial small subunit ribosomal RNA", at positions 26 to 518 of the family's 1533-position model. The record is from RNAcentral.
AGGACGAACGCUGGCGGCGCGCCUAAUACAUGCAAGUCGAGCGAGAACCAGGGCUUCGGCCCUGGGGAGAGCGGCGAACGGGUGCGUAUCACGUGAGCAACCUGCCUCGGAGACCGGAAUAACUCGAGGAAACUCGGGCUAAUGCCGGAUGCCCUCGGUGGACCGCAUGGUCCGGCGAGGAAAUGGAUUCCGCUCCGAGAUGGGCUCGCGGCCUAUCAGCUUGUUGGUGGGGUAACGGCCUACCAAGGCAACGACGGGUAGCUGGUCUGAGAGGACGAUCAGCCACACUGGGACUGAGACACGGCCCAGACUCCUACGGGAGGCAGCAGUAGGGAAUCUUGCGCAAUGGGCGAAAGCCUGACGCAGCGACGCCGCGUGCGGGAUGAAGGCCUUCGGGUCGUAAACCGCUUUCAGCAGGGACGAAAUUGACGGUACCUGCAGAGAAGGCCGGCACUACGUGCCAGCAGCCGC